CCUACGGGUGGCAGCAGUGGGGAAUAUUGGGCAAUGGGCGCAAGCCUGACCCAGCAACGCCGCGUGAAGGAAGAAGGCUUUCGGGUUGUAAACUUCUUUUAUCAGGGACGAAGCAAGUGACGGUACCUGAUGAAUAAGCGACGGCUAACUACGUGCCAGCAGCCGCGGUAAUACGUAGGGGGCAAGCGUUAUCCGGAUUUACUGGGUGUAAAGGGCGUGUAGGCGGGAGAGCAAGUCAGAUGUGAAAACCGUGGGCUCAACCUGUGGCCUGCAUUGGAAACUGUUUUUCUGGAGUACUGGAGAGGCAGACGGAAUUCCUAGUGUAGCGGUGAAAUGCGUAGAUAUUAGGAGGAACACCAGUGGCGAAGGCGGUCUGCUGGACAGCAACUGACGCUGAGGCGCGAAAGCGUGGGGAGCAAACAGGAUUAGAUACCCCUGUAGUC
RNAcentral lists this ribosomal RNA (443 nucleotides) under uncultured bacterium. RNAcentral's name for it is "partial 16S ribosomal RNA". It matches the Rfam family "Bacterial small subunit ribosomal RNA", at positions 338 to 795 of the family's 1533-position model. The record is from RNAcentral.